RNAcentral lists this ribosomal RNA (300 nucleotides) under uncultured Pyrobaculum sp. Its description in RNAcentral is "bacterial SSU rRNA". The stretch from base 57 to 300 matches the Rfam family "Bacterial small subunit ribosomal RNA", at positions 552 to 795 of the family's 1533-position model. The record is from RNAcentral. Lineage: Archaea; Thermoproteati; Thermoproteota; Thermoprotei; Thermoproteales; Thermoproteaceae.
GCUGAGUAGGGGGCAGGAGACGGGGGAGUCCGUUGGGGGCGAGGGGUGUCCUGGUGUACUGGGCGGAAAGUGGGCGUAGGCGGAUUGUUAAGUUGUGUGGGAAAUACUCGGGCUGAACCUGAGUGCUGCAUUUCAAACUGGAAGUCGAGAGUGCAGUAGAGGGGUAGGGAAUUCCUAGUGUAGCGGUGAAAUGCGUAGAGAUGAGGAAGAACACCAGUGGCGAAGGCGCUCCUCUGGACUGUAACUGACGCUGAGGCUCGAAAGCGUGGGGAGCAAACAGGAUUAGAUACCCUUGUAGUC